CGCGAAAAGUGCUGAACUGGCACGGCGUUUCACCGAUUGGUCUAUGAUGAUUUCGCAAGAGUUGAACAUGAAAAGGAAGCCUAAGUUCCGAGUUUUUCUACAGUGAGCCCCCCUCCC
Caenorhabditis elegans is the source of this 117-nucleotide non-coding RNA. Lineage: Eukaryota; Metazoa; Nematoda; Chromadorea; Rhabditida; Rhabditidae. The record is from Ensembl.